CUGGUGCUUUGUGGAGCUCCUCCCAGGGCACUCCCAGACACUCCCUGGGAAUUGCAUGGCAGGGAGUCACCUCUGUUCCCCGGGCAAGGGGCAUGCCCAGGCUCAGGCUGCUUACCCAGCUCACCUGGGCGCAGAGGAAGUCUUCUCUUCUGCACCAAAGGAAAGGGUGCUAAUCACACCAUCGACUGAGCCUUCAAAGGCACAGGGGCAAAUCAAGAUCCUGGCACCCAGACACCAAACACCUGAGGGAGGAGAGGAGGCACAGGAAAGAAGUGGCCAAAUCACAGCCUCUACUGAGACACCGGCAACCCCUCCCUGGUGAUCUGAGCCUAGCACUGCGAGCCUCCCCCUCUGGCUUCCUGAGGCACAGGCACCAGCUGGGAAGAGCUCCCUUUUCAAAGGUCUGACCUCAACGCGGUGGAGCCCUGCCCUAUCUGCCUGUGGAUUUUAACAACAUGCUCUCUUUGCUUUGCCCCUGACCCUGUGAGGAAGCUGCUUCCUGUAUGUUCUCUCCGUGGGACGUGUAUGUCUCCUUUUUGUGUUUUUUAGGCUUCCAAUACCUGCUUGACUAGUUUCCUAUACUAAAUUCUCUGUCAAAAUAACUGAGGUGAC
Molecule: long non-coding RNA, 612 nt
Filed under: Homo sapiens (human)
Lineage: Eukaryota; Metazoa; Chordata; Mammalia; Primates; Hominidae
Description: HSALNT0218113
Source: RNAcentral